AGUGAACGCUGGCGGUAGGCCUAACACAUGCAAGUCGAACGGCAGCACAGUAAGAGCUUGCUCUUACGGGUGGCGAGUGGCAGACGGGUGAGGAAUACAUCGGAAUCUACUUUUUCGUGGGGGAUAACGUAGGGAAACUUCCGCUAAUACCGCAUACGACCUACGGGUGAAAUCAGGGGAUCUUCGGACCUUGCGCGAUUGAAUGAGCCGAUGUCGGAUUAGCUAGUUGGCGGGGUAAAGGCCCACCAAGGCGACGAUCCGUAGCUGGUCUGAGAGGAUGAUCAGCCACACUGGAACUGAGACACGGUCCAGACUCCUACGGGAGGCAGCAGUGGGGAAUAUUGGACAAUGGGCGAAAGCCUGAUCCAGCCAUGCCGCGUGUGUGAAGAAGGCCUUCGGGUUGUAAAGCCCUUUUGUUGGGAAAGAAAAGCAGCAGGUUAAUACCGCGCUGUACUGACGGUACCCAAAGAAUAAGCACCGGCUAACUUCGUG
RNAcentral lists this ribosomal RNA (492 nucleotides) under uncultured bacterium. RNAcentral describes it as "partial 16S ribosomal RNA". It matches the Rfam family "Bacterial small subunit ribosomal RNA", at positions 29 to 507 of the family's 1533-position model. The record is from RNAcentral.